Molecule: ribosomal RNA, 301 nt
Filed under: uncultured bacterium
Lineage: Bacteria
Description: partial 16S ribosomal RNA
Rfam family: Bacterial small subunit ribosomal RNA
Source: RNAcentral
CAGUCGCCGCGGGAACACGUAGGUGGCAAGCGUUGUCCGGAAUUAUUGGGCGUAAAGGGUGCGUAGGCGGGUCUUUAAGUCAGGGGUGAGAUCCUGGAGCUCAACUCCAGAACUGCCUUUGAUACUGAAGAUCUUGAGUUCGGGAGAGGUGAGUGGAACUGCGAGUGUAGAGGUGAGAUUCGUAGAUAUUCGCAAGAACACCAGUGGCGAAGGCGGCUCACUGGCCCGAUACUGACGCUGAGGCACGAAAGCGUGGGGAGCAAACAGGAUUAGAUACCCGUGUAGUCCCUGUCUCUUAUAC